Molecule: ribosomal RNA, 231 nt
Filed under: uncultured bacterium
Lineage: Bacteria
Description: partial 16S ribosomal RNA
Rfam family: Bacterial small subunit ribosomal RNA
Source: RNAcentral
UACGAAGGGGGCUAGCGUUGCUCGGAAUCACUGGGCGUAAAGGGUGCGUAGGCGGGUCUUUUAAGUCAGGGGUGAAAUCCUGGAGCUCAACUCCAGAACUGCCUUUGAUACUGAGAUCUUGAGUUCGGGAGAGGUGAGUGGAACUGCGAAGUGUAGAGGUGAAAUUCGUAGAUAUUCGCAAGAACACCAGUGGCGAAGGCGGCUCACUGGCCCGAUACUGACGCUGAGGCA